This 228-nucleotide small RNA is filed under the name Bos taurus (domestic cattle). Lineage: Eukaryota; Metazoa; Chordata; Mammalia; Artiodactyla; Bovidae. The record is from RNAcentral.
ACUCUUUGUGACCCCAUGGACUGCAGCCUACCAGGCUCCUCUGUCCAUGGGAAUUGCCAGGCAAGAGUACUGGAGUAGGGUGCCAUUGCCUUCUCCAUCUAACUUUGUGACUUAUCCUCAAAGGUUACAAAAUCUUGGCAUUUGCCAGUGACACGGACCGACCUGCAGAGCAGCAAGCAGGGUUGGAAGCACUUGCCAUGAACAGCUGUAUGACAUGCGCCUGCGUUC